Molecule: ribosomal RNA, 454 nt
Filed under: uncultured Leptolinea sp.
Lineage: Bacteria; Bacillati; Chloroflexota; Anaerolineae; Anaerolineales; Anaerolineaceae
Description: bacterial SSU rRNA
Rfam family: Bacterial small subunit ribosomal RNA
Source: RNAcentral
ACGGGACCCGCACAAGCAGCGGAGCGUGUGGUUUAAUUCGAUGCUACACGAAGAACCUUACCAGGGUUUGACAUGCAAGUGGUAGGAACCGAAAGGCGACCGACCCUUCGGGGAGCUUGCACAGGUGCUGCAUGGCUGUCGUCAGCUCGUGUCGUGAGAUGUUCGGUUAAGUCCGCUAACGAGCGCAACCCUCGCUGUGUGUUACAAGUGUCACACGGUACUGCCGGUCUUAAGCCGGAGGAAGGUGGGGAUGACGUCAAGUCAGCAUGGCCUUUAUGUCCUGGGCUACACACACGCUACAAUGGCCAACACAAUAGGUUGCUAAGCCGCGAGGUGGAGCCAAUCCUCAAAGUUGGUCUCAGUUCAGAUUGCAGGCUGCAACCCGCCUGCAUGAAGAUGGAGUUGCUAGUAACCGCAGGUCAGCUAUACUGCGGUGAAUACGUUCCCGGGGCUU